CCUACGGGGGGCUGCAGUCAAGAAAAUUUGGCAAUGGGCGAAAGCCUGACCAUGCGACACCGCGUGCUGGACGAAGUCCUUCGGGACGUAAACAGCUUUUAUGAGGGAAGAAGUAAUUGACAUCACCUCAUGAAUAAGGGGCUCCUAACUCUGUGCCAGCAGGAGCGGUAAUACAGAGGCCCCAAGCAUUACCCGGAAUCACUGGGCGUAAAGGGUGUGUAGGCGGUCGUAUUAGUCUUUUGUGAAAGCUCUCGGACUCAAUCCGGGAAACGCGGGAGAAACGGUACGACUGAGAGGACGUAAGAGGUACAGGGAACUCAUAGUGUAGGGGUGAAAUCCGUUGAUAUUAUGGGGAACACCAAAUGCGAAGGCACUGUACUGGUACGCUCCUGACGCUGAAACACGAAAGCGUGGGAAUCGAACGGGAUUAGAUACCCGGGUAGUC
RNAcentral lists this ribosomal RNA (445 nucleotides) under uncultured bacterium. RNAcentral describes it as "bacterial SSU rRNA". It matches the Rfam family "Bacterial small subunit ribosomal RNA", at positions 338 to 795 of the family's 1533-position model. The record is from RNAcentral.